UACGUAGGGGGCAAGCGUUGUUCGGAUUUACUGGGCGUAAAGGGCGCGUAGGCGGCGUGACAAGUCACUUGUGAAAUCUCCGGGCUUAACUCGGAACGGUCAAGUGAUACUGUUGUGCUAGAGUGCAGAAAGGGUAACUGGAAUUCUUGGUGUAGCGGUGAAAUGCGUAGAUAUCAAGAGGAACACCAGAGGCGAAGGCGAGUUACUGGGCUGACACUGACGCUGAGGCGCGAAAGCUAGGGGAGCGAACGGG
This 253-nucleotide ribosomal RNA is filed under the name uncultured bacterium. RNAcentral describes it as "partial 16S ribosomal RNA". It matches the Rfam family "Bacterial small subunit ribosomal RNA", at positions 524 to 776 of the family's 1533-position model. The record is from RNAcentral.